GAUGAACGCUGGCGGCGUGCCUAAUACAUGCAAGUCGAGCGAACGGACGAGAAGCUUGCUUCUCUGAUGUUAGCGGCGGACGGGUGAGUAACACGUGGAUAACCUACCUAUAAGACUGGGAUAACUUCGGGAAACCGGAGCUAAUACCGGAUAAUAUUUUGAACCGCAUGGUUCAAAAGUGAAAGACGGUCUUGCUGUCACUUAUAGAUGGAUCCGCGCUGCAUUAGCUAGUUGGUAAGGUAACGGCUUACCAAGGCAACGAUGCAUAGCCGACCUGAGAGGGUGAUCGGCCACACUGGAACUGAGACACGGUCCAGACUCCUACGGGAGGCAGCAGUAGGGAAUCUUCCGCAAUGGGCGAAAGCCUGACGGAGCAACGCCGCGUGAGUGAUGAAGGUCUUCGGAUCGUAAAACUCUGUUAUUAGGGAGGAACAUAUGCGUAAGUAACUGUGCACAUCUUGACGGUACCUAAUCAGAAAGCCACGGCUAACUACGUG
RNAcentral lists this ribosomal RNA (497 nucleotides) under uncultured bacterium. RNAcentral's name for it is "partial 16S ribosomal RNA". It matches the Rfam family "Bacterial small subunit ribosomal RNA", at positions 28 to 507 of the family's 1533-position model. The record is from RNAcentral.